GGGGGGGGGUCCUUUUUAAGUUACGGAGGAGCAGAGGACCCUGGCAUUGCUCACCAAGGCAGCUUCUAUUUCUUUUGAAGGUCAAAUGUGAGGGUGCUCAGCCUCAGCGACAUCCUGAAUGCUUUCUGAGCUAAUCAAGGCCCCUAGUCUGGUGCAAAGGAAACCCCAUCUCUAGAGUGGGGUGAGGGAAGCCGAAUGCUGGAUGCUCAGUCCGGGGCUGCUGCUCCUGCAGGCUGCGACCAGCUGGGCAUUUCACCGGUUUUUGUUUUCUGGCACAUCCCAGAGGUCAGCCCUUUACCAGGAAGACGGCACCCCUUUACCGAAAGCAUCCUGACCAUCAGUCUACUGCUUGGCUAACCCUUCAGCAUCCUGACCAUCAGUCUACUGCUUGGCUAACCCUUCAGCAUCCUGACCAUCAGUCUACUGCUUGGCUAACCCUUCAGCAUCCUGACCAUCAGUCUACUGCUUGGCUAACCCUUCAGCAUCCUGACCAUCAGUCUACUGCUUGGCUAACCCUUCAGCAUCCUGACCAUCAGUCUACUGCUUGGCUAACCCUUCGAAAAAUGAUAGCUAGAGGUAGCAAGCAAAACAACAAACAAAACAAAACAAACAAACAAAACCCCAAACAAAAACAAAACUAAGAAUAUCACAAAACAGAUGUAGGCUGGUAGGGAGGCAAGAACUUGGGGUCCUUUUGUGUCCCCAAGAAAAACACUGAUUUCCUCAUUGGUAACAUGACAGGCUGGCCUAAAAUCCCUGAGUUUCCGUUUUUAAUUCUUUGAUCCUAUGAACAAGACAGUGUGGCCACAUUUCCUCUGUUAGUCACUAUGCGGCCCCGUGGUGAGACUAUAGAAAGACAAGCAGAAAGAAACCUUUAUCCUGUGGACCAGUCCACUGCUGUGAGAAGCAGGAGCCACACGGAGGUGACAAUGAGGAGGGCCUCCUGAAGACAGCUGCUGAAUGGGGUAGCUUUCGGUUUGCGACCUGGUACCAACAAUCCAGUUUAGCCAGGCACUUUUCAAGUUUGGGGGUCUCCCGCCCUAACAGACCAGCCCACCAUCCUUAGAUGAGCAGUUGAAGCAGUAAAUUGCCUUGGCAUGUUAUACCCCCAACUAAAAGAGCUGAUUUGUAAAGACUCUGCAACUAUUUCUGAUUGCUUAAACAGCACAUAUAUGUCAUAAUAAAACUGCAAAGAGCGCCUGGAGAAAGGCAAGCCACCCAAGCCCAGGCACUCUGAAGUAACCACCAGUUGGCAUUUUGGAGACUAUGUUUCCAUCCCCAACCCGCAGGCUUUACAUUAGCAGAUGAUGCUCUGCACAGUCCUCGCAGCCUGUUUAACUCAACUCAGCCUCAUUGACAACUUUCUAAGUCUGUGCACACAGAUCUCCAUGGUCACUUCUAGUGCCAGCCUCAAAUUUUAUUGUAUAAGUGGACCACAGUCUGUUCAAUACCCUAAUUUUAUGGCAUCCAUACUGUUCAUAUAUCCAUGUCUCCAGCAUCCAGUGUCCUCAGCUAUCAACUUUGUUUUACACUGUUAUAAUCAGAAGUACUGUGUCCAAAGGUUAUUCUUGUGUACAAUAUUAAAAUGGGACAAUCUUCUAAAAACUAGUAUAUAAAUAUUAUAUAUACAUAUAUAUCACAUAUUGAUAUAGGGAAAGAUCUAUAUAUACCCACAUACAUACAGUCCGAUAGAGAUAGAGGGGUAGAGAGAGACAGACAGACAGAUAGACAGACAGACAGACAGCAGGAGAUAGAACUUUACUUUCUUGACCAAGCCUAAAGAUGAGCAGGGAAAAAAUAAGAAUUUCAGAGGGCAUUGCUUAAAUAGAAACAAAGCGAAACCUCAGAAAGAGAUGCAAGGCAGAAAAGGAUGGAUGUUAUGUUCACAAGGGAGGGCUCUGGAGUACAAGCUGUCUAACCUUUGGCAGAUUAAUUAAUGGAAUGAUUUUUUCUUUUUGAAAUCAAGUGCAACCCCACUGUUAGGACAUUUAAUGCACAGAACCUGACCAUGGCCAGGUGUUCAAUGACCAUGUUUUUUUUUAAAAAAAUCCAGAGUGAUAGAGAUGCCAGAGAGGCAUCUGAUUCACUGGCUUUUAUAGUAAGUCAGCCUUUAUAAAAAGUGAAACUAGGCAGAGCGUUCCUUCAUGUUUUAUUAUUUUACAGAUCUAUCAAUUCGUUAUAUUAAUAAACCUCAGACGUGGUCUCUCAGAGACAAAGAACUAGAGAAAUUUUGGAGGACCCACAGCCUCGUCUCCCAGGCCACCUCAGCAUGGCCCUGGGAGCUAGCAUCUUCAGGAAAUUCUCAAUUACUUAAUUUUCCUCCAACUGUCCUCAUUUUUCACAGCACCAGCUCACUUUACAUGAUUUUUCUGUUUUACACGAUAUUACAUAUCACAGACAUCUCUUGUCCUGAACUGUGGUGAGAUUACUUCAGGAGCAACCAUCUCCUGCCUCAUCUCCAUGGAAAGGAGCGCCAUAUACUCCAGUUUUCACAUCUGUGUGAGCACUCAAGCUAUCUUGCCUCAGUUCACCCUGGAGAUCACUCACCGACAACACACUCUGGGAGACUCUAAUGUCCAAGCCCUGCCUCCUCUGCUUGGAGCCUUCUCUAGAGCAAUGCUUUUAAACUGAUCUUAGUUCUUUUUUUCCCCAGGACAUUGACUGAAAGUCCCCCUAUGCUGGAAGAUACCAGAGAGCUUACACUCUCAACAGGCUGUCUGGCCACAGGAAAAUGACUUUCCAUUCCUUAGAGCGUUUCAUCUAGUACCCUGGAGCUUAGAGUCGCUCAAAUCUUAGCUACUCCUAAUUGACAAAAAGGACUAAAAAUGCAAGCAAUUUCAACUUCAUUGUGAGUUUUUGGAAAUAACGUCAAUAAGUUUGGGUGAUCCAUUUGAAACUUGCUUGUAUGCUUAUGCUCAGAUAGAUUAAAAAGUGUGGCUUGGAGCAAACUAGA
Molecule: long non-coding RNA, 2953 nt
Organism: Mastomys coucha (southern multimammate mouse)
Lineage: Eukaryota; Metazoa; Chordata; Mammalia; Rodentia; Muridae
Exons: 2
Source: RefSeq, a predicted model, not a curated record